GGGAAAAACAUUGUUUGGAAAUUUGUAUCCUGCCUCGGAGUGAUCCACCCACUAGUGGAGCAGGAUGAGAAGAUGGCCAGAUUCUUCUCACAUACUUCGACCAAACAACCGAGCACAAGCGAGUGAGAGCAGCGAC
Long non-coding RNA from Artibeus jamaicensis (Jamaican fruit-eating bat), 136 nucleotides. RefSeq lists it as uncharacterized. NCBI's taxonomy places the organism in Eukaryota, Metazoa, Chordata, Mammalia, Chiroptera, Phyllostomidae. The record is from RefSeq and is a predicted model, not a curated record. The transcript has 3 exons.